UCCCUGGUGGCUCAGAUGGUAAAGCGUCUGUCUACAAUGCAGGAGACCUGGGUUCAACCCCUGGGUUGGGAA
RNAcentral lists this transfer RNA (72 nucleotides) under Ovis aries (sheep). It matches the Rfam family "tRNA". Rfam says of the family: Transfer RNA (tRNA) molecules are approximately 80 nucleotides in length. Lineage: Eukaryota; Metazoa; Chordata; Mammalia; Artiodactyla; Bovidae. The record is from Rfam by way of RNAcentral.